GAGCCAGCCUGUCCACGGGCUCCCAGCUUCUGAUCAAUUCUCUGCAUGCAGGGAGGCACCUGCCCCUGAGGGGACAUUGCAGUUAUUGACCUGUGCUAGGGAUGAAGUAUUAGCUUUGGUUACAGACUUAAGGCCAUGUCCUCCAAUUAGCUUAGCAGCAAUAUAGCCGAACACUGAAUCUCUGCCUUUCAGUCUCCUGGAUUCUCCUCUACUGGUUCAGGGUGAUGGAAUUGGGAGUGUGCCUCCAAUUUCUCCAGAUCCUCUCUGACCUUCUCCAUCUGGCUCUGUGCCCCAGAAGGUAGACCGUGAAGGAUGUUCUCAAGCUCCCUUGCCAGCUUCUGAUUGGUGUUGGCCAACGUCCAGUCACUAGCAGGAUUUUGGUGGGUAGGAGGACAACAAGGUCAAGGAUUUCAUCCCUGCUCCCUCUCUGCUUUGGUACCAUCCCUACGGCUCCUGAAGGAGGUCACCUCUUCCACGCUUCCUGCUCUCACUGGGUUCAGGCAGAAAGAUACGUCUUGGAGAGAAACAAGAUUGAGAGCCAGGAGCAGUGGCGUGCAUUAACCAUUUUUGUGGUAGAUUCCCAGGUUUCUAUUGGAAACAGACAAACCACCUCUUCUUCUCUCUGCUCGGGAUCCUAGCACAAACGAAGCACAAGCACAGAGUGCUGGCAUGCUCUGGAUGUGACUCUCCAGGGAACAAAGGAAGAUGGACCUGGCCUGAUGUGACUUUUAUCUGAAUACUCACCUCAUUGUUGCUCUCAAAUGUGGGUUCUAACUUGUCCAUGGCUCUGUCAAGGAUGUGCAGAAGCCCAUUGGAAGCAAUGAUGUCCCCUUGUAUAAUUUUUACCUUCUUUUUGCCUCCAUGGAGUUUAAGCUUUAUUUGAUUGUCCUAAAACACCAAAGAAAGAUAAAAUAAGAUUACUAUGGUGUCCUGGAAGGAGCAAGCACUGGAGUAGAGUCAGAAGUCUUGAGUCCUUGGGCUUUGAUAUUUAUUGGCAAUGUGAUUUUGGAUAAGUCACUUAAUCUAAAGUGGGGAUGAAAGUGUCUGCUUUGUUAACCUCACAGGGUUUUCAUUAAGAUCAAAUGAUAUGAUGUGUGAAAGCACUGACAACUAUAUAUGCUAAACCUGGGCAAGGUAUUAUCAAGCUCUUCUCCAGCAGACUGCAAGCUUCAUAAGGACAAAACUAUUUAAUUUACUAUAAAUUCAUCACUCACUUUAGUGUCUUGCACAGAGAAAGCACACAAUAAAAUUAUUUGUGGAAUAAAU
Molecule: long non-coding RNA, 1266 nt
Filed under: Homo sapiens (human)
Lineage: Eukaryota; Metazoa; Chordata; Mammalia; Primates; Hominidae
Description: HSALNT0194195
Source: RNAcentral